Molecule: ribosomal RNA, 494 nt
Filed under: uncultured bacterium
Lineage: Bacteria
Description: bacterial SSU rRNA
Rfam family: Bacterial small subunit ribosomal RNA
Source: RNAcentral
GAUGAACGCUAGCUACAGGCUUAACACAUGCAAGUCGAGGGGAAACGACAUCGAAAGCUUGCUUUUGAUGGGCGUCGACCGGCGCACGGGUGAGUAACGCGUAUCCAACCUGCCCACCACUUGGGGAUAACCUUGCGAAAGUAAGACUAAUACCCAAUGAUAUCCCACGAAGGCAUCCGAAUGGGAUUAAAGAUUUAUCGGUGAUGGAUGGGGAUGCGUCUGAUUAGCUUGUUGGCGGGGUAACGGCCCACCAAGGCAACGAUCAGUAGGGGUUCUGAGAGGAAGGUCCCCCCACAUUGGAACUGAGACACGGUCCAAAACUCCUACGGGAGGCAGCAGUGGGGAAUAUUGGUCAAUGGGCGAGAGCCUGAACCAGCCAAGUAGCGUGCAGGACGACGGCCCUAUGGGUUGUAAACUGCUUUUAUAAGGGAAUAAAGUGGGUCACGUGUGACUUUUUGCAUGUACCUUAUGAAUAAGGACCGGCUAAUUCCGUG